CUUUUUUAGAGGUGAUGCUGAUGUGCAAGCAUCUUCACCUUGAGUUCUGCCUUGCCAGAAUGAAUCAAGUUUAUUUUCCCAUCCUGCUCCAUUUGAGGCAAAUUGAACAAGGAUUUGUUUGGCUUCCAAAUGGUUUGUUGGGCCUAAAAUAGUCAGAAUCACAUGACAUCUAUGCUAUAGGUAAUCUGAUCUUCUAACUCAAGUUUGCAUUUAGUUUAGACUUUAGGUUAUGUUAGUCAUAACAAACUUGAAAAGACAUAUUAACAAGGAAAGAUCAUAUUAACAGUUCAUGUUACAUUUGCAGAUAUGUACCUCGGUGGUUUUCUCCACAUUAGGAAAGCUCGAAGAGCCUUUUGAACUCAGUUUUUUUGCUAACAGUGGUGUUAUGGUGAAACAGAGUUUUGUGUGUACGUACCAACAGCUAAAAUGUAAACACGACAUUAUCAUAGUUAAGUACAGGAAUAAUUAUCUCUUAUAUCUUAUUGCAAAAUCUGAAACAGUUCUCCUGUAGAUGGUUAGCUUGCAUUUUACGCUACAAUUACCUCAGAUCACUUGUUGUAUCUUACACCAAUUUAC
This is a long non-coding RNA of Zea mays, 576 nucleotides long. RefSeq lists it as uncharacterized. The transcript is spliced from 2 exons. Lineage: Eukaryota; Viridiplantae; Streptophyta; Magnoliopsida; Poales; Poaceae. The record is from RefSeq and is a predicted model, not a curated record.